This 429-nucleotide ribosomal RNA is filed under the name Bacillota bacterium. RNAcentral's name for it is "Firmicutes bacterium partial 16S ribosomal RNA". It matches the Rfam family "Bacterial small subunit ribosomal RNA", at positions 355 to 776 of the family's 1533-position model. The record is from RNAcentral. Lineage: Bacteria; Bacillati; Bacillota.
UAGGGAAUCUUCGGCAAUGGGGGCAACCCUGACCGAGCAACGCCGCGUGAGUGAAGAAGGUUUUCGGAUCGUAAAGCUCUGUUGUAAGUCAAGAACGGGUGUGAGAGUGGAAAGUUCACACUGUGACGGUAGCUUACCAGAAAGGGACGGCUAACUACGUGCCAGCAGCCGCGGUAAUACGUAGGUCCCGAGCGUUGUCCGGAUUUAUUGGGCGUAAAGCGAGCGCAGGCGGUUUGAUAAGUCUGAAGUUAAAGGCUGUGGCUCAACCAUAGUUCGCUUUGGAAACUGUCAAACUUGAGUGCAGAAGGGGAGAGUGGAAUUCCAUGUGUAGCGGUAAAAUGCGUAGAUAUAUGGAGGAACACCGGUGGCGAAAGCGGCUCUCUGGUCUGUAACUGACGCUGAGGCUCGAAAGCGUGGGGAGCGAACAGG